This 155-nucleotide ribosomal RNA is filed under the name uncultured bacterium. RNAcentral describes it as "partial 16S ribosomal RNA". It matches the Rfam family "Bacterial small subunit ribosomal RNA", at positions 355 to 507 of the family's 1533-position model. The record is from RNAcentral.
UAAGGAAUAUUGGUCAAUGGACGCAAGUCUGAACCAGCCAUGCCGCGUGAAGGAUGAAGGUCCUCUGGAUUGUAAACUUCUUUUAUUUGGGAAGAAACCCACGGUUUCUACUGUGGUUGACGGUACCAGAUGAAUAAGCACCGGCUAACUCCGUG